AACGAACGCUGGCGGCAGGCUUAACACAUGCAAGUCGAGCGCCCCGCAAGGGGAGCGGCAGACGAGUGAGUAACGCGUGGGAACGUACCUUUUGGUUCGGAACAACUCCGGGAAACUGGAGCUAAUACCGGAUAAGCCCUAACGGGGAAAGAUUUAUCGCCGAAAGAUCGGCCCGCGUCUGAUUAGCUAGUUGGUGAGGUAACGGCUCACCAAGGCGACGAUCAGUAGCUGGUCUGAGAGGAUGAUCAGCCACACUGGGACUGAGACACGGCCCAGACUCCUACGGGAGGCAGCAGUGGGGAAUAUUGGACAAUGGGCGCAAGCCUGAUCCAGCCAUGCCGCGUGAGUGAUGAAGGCCUUAGGGUUGUAAAGCUCUUUUGUCCGGGAAGAUAAUGACUGUACCGGAAGAAUAAGCCCCGGCUAACUUCGUG
This 431-nucleotide ribosomal RNA is filed under the name uncultured bacterium. Its description in RNAcentral is "partial 16S ribosomal RNA". It matches the Rfam family "Bacterial small subunit ribosomal RNA", at positions 29 to 507 of the family's 1533-position model. The record is from RNAcentral.